AGUCCUGAAUAAGUAUGAACCAAAAUAUAGAUUCAUAUAUAUAAGAUUCUAUGGUAGUCUCAGGUCAAAGGAUUACAAGCACAACUUCCACUAUAAGAAAAUAUCUUUUGAUGGAUAAGUAGAUUUCAUAAGAUGUUUCUUAAGUCAGAUCAAUUCAGUGAACUUAUUCUUUAAUGAGCACCCAUAUUCUUGUAUUAGUGUCUUACACAAGUGGCUUAUGAGAUUAGCCACCCUCUCCAUCGAGCAUACAUAGGAAGUGCCAAUCUGUCCGAAACAUUGAUCCCCUACUCAAUACUCAUAUGAUUAUGAAUAUUCUAAAUCAAGAUUUUUAAAAUUUUAGGUCUCAUAGGUGUGAUCUCAUCAUAACCCUAAAACUAUUAUUCUGAUUUAUGGAGUUCAUCAUAAUCAUUACAAAAGUAAGAUACAGUAUAUAAUAAAAAAUAUCUUUUAUUUAUAAAGUAUCAAUUACAUAAGUC
Molecule: long non-coding RNA, 476 nt
Filed under: Elaeis guineensis (African oil palm)
Lineage: Eukaryota; Viridiplantae; Streptophyta; Magnoliopsida; Arecales; Arecaceae
Description: long non-coding RNA (EGUI_LNC065360)
Source: RNAcentral